AUACGGAGGGUGCAAGCGUUGUUCGGAAUUACUGGGCGUAAAGCGCGCGUAGGCGGUCUGUUAUGUCAGAUGUGAAAGUCCUCGGCUCAACCGGGGAAGUGCAUUUGAAACUGGCAGACUUGAGUACUGGAGGGGGUGGUGGAAUUCCCGGUGUAGAGGUAAAAUUCGUAGAUAUCGGGAGGAAUACCGGUGGCGAAGGCGACCACCUGGCCAGAUACUGACGCUGAGGUGCGAAAGCGUGGGGAGCAAACAGGAUUAGAAACCCUAGUAGUCC
Molecule: ribosomal RNA, 274 nt
Filed under: uncultured bacterium
Lineage: Bacteria
Description: partial 16S ribosomal RNA
Rfam family: Bacterial small subunit ribosomal RNA
Source: RNAcentral